AACGCACGAGACCUGCGGACCUGCGGAGGGAUCAUUAUUGAAUUGUUUCUUGAUAGGUUGUCGCUGGCCUCUUGUGGGCAUGUGCACGCCUGUCUUGACAACUUAUUCAUCCACCUGCGCACCCAUUGUAGUCUUCUUCGAGGGAAUCUGGUGAAGCUGGUGGGCCUUGAUUGGUCUUGUGGAACCACUCUCGAGUUGGCUAUGUCUUUUAAACAUCACACCAUGUAGUAUGUUAACCGA
This 240-nucleotide unclassified non-coding RNA is filed under the name soil metagenome. Its description in RNAcentral is "partial contains 5.8S ribosomal RNA, internal transcribed spacer 2, and large subunit ribosomal RNA". The record is from RNAcentral.